Molecule: ribosomal RNA, 468 nt
Filed under: uncultured bacterium
Lineage: Bacteria
Description: partial 16S ribosomal RNA
Rfam family: Bacterial small subunit ribosomal RNA
Source: RNAcentral
GACGAACGCUGGCAGCGUGCUUAACACAUGCAAGUCGAACGGAAAGGCCCUGCUUUUGCGGGGUGCUCGAGUGGCGAACGGGUGAGUAACACGUGAGUAACCUGCCCUUGACUUUGGGAUAACUUCAGGAAACUGGGGCUAAUACCGGAUAGGAGCUCCUGCUGCAUGGUGGGGGUUGGAAAGUUUCGGCGGUUGGGGAUGGACUCGCGGCUUAUCAGCUUGUUGGUGGGGUAGUGGCUUACCAAGGCUUUGACGGGUAGCCGGCCUGAGAGGGUGACCGGCCACAUUGGGACUGAGAUACGGCCCAGACUCCUACGGGAGGCAGCAGUGGGGAGUAUUGCACAAUGGGCGGAAGCCUGAUGCAGCAACGCCGCGUGCGGGAUGACGGCCUUCGGGUUGUAAACCGCUUUCGCCUGUGACGAAGCGUGAGUGACGGUAAUGGGUAAAGAAGCACCGGCUAACUACGUG